CCACACUCACCCACCCACACUCAGUGCCAGCAACGCUACAGCCCCAUCCAGCACCGUUUAACAGCUUACCCAGGUGUCAACUGGUAAAAUCAAACACACAUAAAGACUAGGGCAUGCAAGAACCCUGUUUUCUUAAGCGGUAUUAAUUACUGAUAGAGAUCAACAUCCAGCUUCUCAAAAUGACACCUGAGAGGAGGUGCAUAGAAAUAGUGGGUAUAGCUGUUAACCUUUGCAGUGUAGACAGGUAUGUAAGCAUUGCUGUUCAAGAGUGAAGAAGAUCCUAAUGGCCUCAGGGUACAGACUUCAGGUGGAUUUCUCUGUGACACUGAGGCCCUUUGUGUCUCUUGAGCAGCUAAUUCCUUGCCCCUUAACCUGUACUUCUGACAAUCCCCUUAAAUGCUUCUGUAACCUUUUGUCAUCAUGACUCAAGCUCUGUCCCAAAUCAUGCUAAGCCAGUUCUUUAGGAUAUACAGUUAAUAACUCGCUCCAACAUUUGGAUAGAACACCAUGUGAUUUACCUGCAUCACCUCCACGACAGAUGAAGACUCCAUUUGACUGUACUAGAUGUUGCACAUAUUCUCAGAACUAAAUUUACAAUUGGUUUGGAUACUCAAGAUGAAAGUGAUUCAAGUAUUUAGUUCCAAGGUCAUGAGUCUUGGGGAAGAAAAGUCUCUGGAUUCUGGAGAGCAGAAGAGUUCAGUUACUAAUUUUCCCUUGCAUCACUAAUAGCAAGUCUUCUUUCCCACAUUUUAAUGUGAGAAUGUGAUGAUAGAGCUGCUUUUAAACAAUUUAAUUAUAGUACUUCUGGGAGUAUUCUAAGGUUAGAAAUGCAACAUUUCACAUUUAACAUCUUGAAAUUAUUUUUUCCCUUUCUAAUGCAAGUUGACAAUCAUUUAAAAACCCAUGAAUUUUGACAUAGCUUCAAACAGGUUGUUCCACAUUUAAUAGACAGUGGUUCCCACUCUAGUGUAAAUAUGAUAUAAUGAAGCCUUAAUAUUCCACUCUUCCACAGAAAUGGUUCUGAAUUUGCUGAUUUGUAGAAUUCUUUUGUUUUCACCCUCCAAGGGAAACACAUAGCAAUUUAAAUCUUAUGACAAUAGGCUUGCUUUUCUUGGUUACAUUUCACAAACAUCUUGAAAAUAGUCCAUGGAACAAAAUGGUCUGCUACUCACAGGAUGACAAAAAAUUGUUAUACUAGGAAGACGGAAAAUAAAAAAAAUAACUCACUCAAACCAUUUCAGGCGCUAAUAAAUAAAAACAAACCAGUUCCUAAGAAAAUGUCUUUAAUUUUCAUGUUAUGGAAAUACAUAUUUUGGUUUUAUUUCCAUGAUACAAAAAUUUAAAUAUCAAACAUUUUCUGAAAUCUACCAAUGCAGAUCUUUUUUUAAACAAAUAAAGGGCUGGUGCAGUUAGCAGGUUCAUCACAUUUACCAAAAAACAUUUUUUACAGAAUCAGGAUUUAAAAGUGGGAACAACAGAUGUGAAAACAAAGAAAAACUACCUCCCACCAGGAAAUUAAUGUUUGAGAAACUUUUAAGUUACAGUUUUUUGACAGGGUAAGUAUGUGUAAGGCUGUAUUUAGAUGAAUACCACCUGCACUGGGGGUGGGGGUAGAGAACAGAAAUUCAAGAAAUGUUCCUGGAUAAAGUAACAGGUAGAAAGCAGUAAGUAAAACUGCAGCUCCACCUGUUCCCAGAAUGCUGACAGCAUACUGAAG
This is a long non-coding RNA of Passer domesticus (house sparrow), 1717 nucleotides long. RefSeq lists it as uncharacterized. NCBI's taxonomy places the organism in Eukaryota, Metazoa, Chordata, Aves, Passeriformes, Passeridae. The transcript has 2 exons. The record is from RefSeq and is a predicted model, not a curated record.